RNAcentral lists this ribosomal RNA (465 nucleotides) under uncultured bacterium. Its description in RNAcentral is "partial 16S ribosomal RNA". It matches the Rfam family "Bacterial small subunit ribosomal RNA", at positions 28 to 507 of the family's 1533-position model. The record is from RNAcentral.
GAUGAACGCUGGCGGCGUGCUUAACACAUGCAAGUCGAACGGAAAGGCUCCUGCUUGCAGGGGUACUCGAGUGGCGAACGGGUGAGUAACACGUGGGUGAUCUGCCCUGCACUUCGGGAUAAGCCUGGGAAACUGGGUCUAAUACCGGAUAGGACGAUGGUUUGGAUGCCAUUGUGGAAAGUUUUUCGGUGUGGGUUGAGCUCGCGGCCUAUCAGCUGGUUGGUGGGGUAAUGGCCUACCAGGGCGUCGACGGGUAGCCGGCCUGAGAGGGUGUACGGCGACAUUGGGACUGCGAUACGGCCCAGACUCCUACGGGAGGCAGCAGUGGGGAAUAUUGCACAAUGGGCGCAAGCCUGAUGCAGCGACGCCGCGUGGGGGAUGACGGCCUUCGGGUUGUAAACUCCUUUCGCUAGGGACGAAGCGCAGGUGACGGUACCUGGAGAAGAAGCACCGGCUAACUACGUG